Hemibagrus wyckioides is the source of this 8724-nucleotide RNA transcript. It is a transcript of the gene named phosphatidylinositol-4-phosphate 5-kinase, type I, gamma a, with no coding region annotated. The transcript is spliced from 18 exons. NCBI's taxonomy places the organism in Eukaryota, Metazoa, Chordata, Actinopteri, Siluriformes, Bagridae. The record is from RefSeq and is a predicted model, not a curated record.
UGCAUGCGUAUGUGCGCUUUAUAAUGUGUGCGCAUUUAUAAUGUGUGGCCAAUAGAGAGCACUGUUCCCCAAGCAUCAGAGGAGAAUCGUGCGCUUCACGCCGCUCACUUCAGGAGUCCGGCUUAGGGAAUAAGCCUGAAAGCACUACAUGGCAGUGCAGAAGAGACGAGCAGAGCGCGCGGUCACAUCCACUCCGUUUCACUAUGCGCUCGCGCUAUUAACAGCUACAGCCCGCUAGACUGCAGGACAGCGGCCCGAGCUCACGCGCUUACGGCAUUAGGACCAGGAAUGGAGGCGGCAGCGGACGGCGCGAGCAGCCUGGCUGAGGCCGAGGAUGGCAGCCCGUUAUCCCAAGACGAACCGGUGUUUGGGGUCUGUGACAACCAAGCGAUGGAUGCAGAUGCUGUCAAGAAGGCUUUCAUCACAGAGAUGGCAUCAUCCUCAGGCCAGCCAGGCCUUGGAAAAAAGAUCGGGCACAGAGGAGUGGACGCUUCUGGAGAGACAACAUACAAGAAGACCACAUCGUCAGCACUAAAAGGAGCCAUCCAGCUUGGCAUCGGCUACACAGUGGGCAAUCUGAGCUCCAAGCCCGAGAGAGAUGUGCUCAUGCAGGACUUCUACGUAGUGGAGAGCAUCUUCUUCCCCAGCGAGGGAAGCAACCUGACACCAGCCCACCACUUUCCAGACUUCCGGUUCAAGACGUAUGCUCCUGUGGCUUUCCGUUACUUCAGGGAGCUGUUUGGGAUUCGUCCCGAUGACUAUCUGUACUCUCUGUGUAACGAGCCGCUGAUCGAGUUGUCGAACCCAGGAGCCAGUGGUUCUGUGUUCUACGUUACCAAGGAUGACGAGUUCAUCAUCAAGACUGUCAUGCACAAGGAGGCAGAGUUCCUGCAGAAGCUUCUGCCAGGAUAUUACAUGAACCUUAACCAGAACCCUCGAACACUGUUGCCCAAGUUUUUCGGCUUGUACUGCGUGCAGUCGGGAGGAAAGAACAUCCGGAUGGUGGUCAUGAACAACAUCCUGCCCAGGGUGGUACGCAUGCACCUGAAAUACGACUUGAAGGGCUCCACAUACAAGCGCCGGGCCUCCAAAAAAGAGCGAGAGAAGGCAAAGCCGACAUUUAAAGACCUCGACUUCAUGCAGGACAUUCCUGAGGGCCUGAUGCUGGACGUGGACACUUACAAUGCCCUUGUCAAGACUCUCCAGAGAGAUUGCUUGGUGCUGGAGAGUUUUAAGAUCAUGGAUUACAGUUUGUUGUUGGGGCUGCAUAACCUCGACCAGGCUGAGAGGGAGCAGAACAUUGAGGGCUCUCAGAGUAGCAGUGAUGGAAAGAGACCACCGGCCCAGAAAGCCCUCUACACCACAGCCAUGGAGUCCAUCCAGGGAGCCUCAGCCUGCGGAAAGGACAUCGACACUGAGGACACGAUGGGAGGCAUCCCGGCAGUGAACAGUAAAGGAGAGCGUUUGUUGCUGUACAUUGGCAUCAUUGACAUCCUGCAGUCUUACAGGUUAAUAAAGAAAUUAGAACACACAUGGAAAGCUCUCGUUCAUGAUGGGGACACAGUGUCUGUGCACCGACCUUCUUUCUAUGCAGACAGAUUCUUCAGAUUUAUGAGUAGCACAGUAUUUCGGAAGAGCUCCUCCUUAAGGUCUUCUCCCUCAAAGCGUGGUCGAGGAGGCCUGGCCAUGCCCAAAUACUCAGGGCCUGGAGCUGCGUGGUCGAUCAGCCAGCUUCCCUCUGAGAGAGACGACAACAUUUAUGACCUGCGAGGGGCGCGCAGCUUCCCCACACUGGAGGACGAAGGUCGCUCAGAUGUGCUUCCCUGCACACCUCCAUCAUUUGAGGAUGCCACCACUGCCUCCAUUGCCACCACACUCUCCUCCACCACCUCUCUCUCCAUUCCUGAACGCUCCCCCUCUGACACUUCAGAGCACCCCCGCUACAGGAGACACACCCAGUCUAGCCAAGACGGAACGACUCAGGAGGAAGAUCAGCAGACCAUCACAGUAGAGGUGGAGUUGAAGAGACAAGACAGUGAGCCUACACUCAUAGCACCACAACCUUCUCCAGAGACAAGUGAAGAUUUGGAGCUCCGUGCAGAAGCUUCCUGUUCCACAGUUCCUGCGAGUCCUAAAAUUGUGGUGGACUCGGACUGCACUAGUCAAGCCUCUGGCUGCCCCAGCCACUCCUCUGUAGACGAGGAUGAUGAUGUGCCAAUCACUGAUAUCUACUUUUCUGCAGAAUCGCUGGUGUGAGGAGCGGGUGUUGUUAGCCUGGUGAGAAACCAGUGUGAGAGUGUGGUGUGUUUAACAGAACACUUGUUUCCCUUGCAGUGUGCUUAAGCCAGAUGAGGAACAUUUCUGCACCCAAAAAAACAUACAUGAUUUAAAAUUUACACUAAUGAUUAAAAGAAACGUAAUGGAAGUCUUCUCAUCCAAAAUCUGUUUUUUAAACAUAUAUGCAAAUUUGUAAAAAGUGUAGCUUUGACCAGUUUUGCAACUGCUCAAAGCAGUUGUAUAAAAACAUAGAGGUGAAAAAAUAAAGUUUAAAGUCAAGUUACUAUUUUAUCCCUAUAUUUUAUCCCUAAUGAGCAAGGCUGAGUUGAAACACUCCCUGAGAUAAUAUGAGGAAGAAACCUUGAGAGGAACCAGGCUCAGAAAAGAACCUCAUCCUCAUUUGGGCGACACUGGACAGUAAAUAAUGUAAAUGUAAAUAAUGUCCAUUCUACAACAGCAUCUAAGAGCUCUUGAGGAACUACUGGGUCAGUGUAGUUUUUAAGUUCAUUUUAGACUUAGCACUAAUUCCUUGCUGUCGCAAGCUGACAGAUGGAACAGCAAUUCAAUGAUAGUCUCCAUUUACUUUUUGUUGAUGAGACUAGGUGACAGUAAUUGUGUUAAAAUAUAUUAACAAAGACAACAACAAAUAGGGUUUUUAAUUUUCUUAGAACAAGUUUAGUUCAAUUAAAGGUUAAAUUUCCUUCAGUGCAAAGGUAAUGCUAAUUAACCACACAGUACAAUAAAACACACAGGGUAUGUGUGUAUAUUUUCGAAAAGGAAUCUGAAUCAGGGAGAUUUCCAUUACUUCUACUCUUCAUUAGCCCUCAACAGCCCAGUGCAAAACUAAAAGAAACACAUCUUGGAUUCUUGGUGACAUUUGUGCCCAGGAGAGAAUUGUGUAAAUACAAGUAUAUUGCUGAAUUCUCCAUUGAUGUUACAUCAAACUGGGUGUUCCCCCUCUGGCUUGGAAACCUACAAGUUAGUACUGAACUCAGUUUUUAGGACCGUUACUCAUUUUCAUUCUCAGUAUCCAGAAUGACGUGUUAUGCCUCCUGCAUGUGACCUACAGUUUUGUUCCCUGCUGCAUACCUUCAUCAGACUUUCCAUAUUGUGCUGUAAACUUUGCAUGAAAAUGCAAUGUUUUGUUUCAUUGUAUUGCCUGGUUUCAUACUGGCUCAGAUUGUAUUUGAAAUGCUUUUUCUUAUUGCAUGUGUGUCUUCUUACUCUAUAAUGACCAUGCUUAAUCAGCAGUGACCGAGGACAUACCUGACAGCACGUUUGUCAUCCCUGUUGCUAAGAAAUACAACUGUCAGCCGUCAGCUUGUUCGCAAUCACAUCAUCAGUCCACUGCUGUGUGCGUGACUCAAGCUGUUUCUUCGUCACUGAUGGGUUCUCGAAAAAUAACUGAUUAGAGGGAAAUUGUGUAAGGAACAUUGGGGAAACCCAUUGGAACGUGCUAUAAUAGGAAAAUCAGUAGUGAUGUGUGAUGUGGUGCUUCAGUUUCAAUUCCCAUCACAAAGCUGAGCAUAGCAAGAUGUAUUCUUCUUGGAAAGUUUGCCAAAAUACUUCAUUAAUUUAUUGUUAAGUAUAAUGUGGAACAUCCAUGGAAAAAUCCACUUAUAUCAGGCAUAAAGUCUCUUUCCUUCACUACAGUCUCCUUCUUCUCCCCUCUUUCUCUAGUUAAUAAGAAUAAAAAUGCAGAGAAACCACAAAUCGGCAAGCUUCUCCAUCCUGAUGACUUUCCUGUGACAAAACACUUAAAUGACAGCUUUUCUUGUGAUUAUUAUAAAGUGUUGACACUGAAGACUCCUUCCAAAAAUGUUUAAUACAUUUCUGUUCACUGAAAACCUUACCAAAUUAUUGAUCACACAUAUUUUCUUUUGUGUUUAUAUAUUAUAUUAAUGUCCACCUGUUUAAGUUGUUAACGUGGGCAUAACACAUAAGAUCAAGUCCAUUAUUAGCUGUUGUGAAGUAUUCAAUGUUUUCUGAACAGCACUGUGAGUUAGGAGCAAGUCAUCAGCUGAGCCUGACUGUGUUUUAUAAUUAACAUCCAUCCACUUGCAUUGUGUGUCAGCUACCCUGAGUCACCUGUUCAUUUGUUUAUUUGUUUCUCUCGCUCAGUUCCUCUCUUUUUUCUCUACUUCUCUCUCUCUAUGACUAAACAAUCAGAUAACUCUUUUUGCAUCUAUUUCUGUCACACAUUUUAUAUUAUCUUUUUGACCGUUUAUUUCAUUUGUAUACUCAUUUUUUUAUUCACAAUCUUUUCUUAUGUUCUUUCUUUUUUGCUUUUUCUCUUUCCCUGUCUCAAUCAUGCACACACACACACACACACACACACUUCUUCUGUCUGUUGUAAGUUCUCUGAUGGUAGCUGUUGUGUCUGCCAGACCAUUACACACCCCAGGAGGCCACAGUGUAAGUCGAGGUAGUGAAUUAGCCGGUUGUGGAAUAUUGUGACUGUAGUGCUCUUGUAAUAGAGAAAUUAGUCUCACACACACACGCAUACACACAGACAUCCUGCAGGCAUGUUUAGCUUUUUUAAAAAUGUGCAAAGCCAUAAUGUGAACUUGGCCACAGCCUUUUCCACUUCCCAUUUCAUUAGAGCAGCUCUGUUUCCCUCUUCUACAGCCUGCUCCCCUUCUUCCUGUUUUUAUUACUAACUGCUUUUACACAGUAGCUGGAAGGCUUAGGGUUUUAACAUGCAUAAAGUCCACUUGUCUAAGCGUGCGCGCAAUCAGCUGAAUAAUUUGCAAAAUAGGUAAAUGCAAAAAUGAGCUUUUAAUAGGACAUUACCUUACAAAAAUAGAAAAUGUUUUCAGUCAGUUAGAUCAGCAUCAGUGCAUGACAGAAUUUCACAAACCGUAAACCUAAGCACAGUGGCACGUUAAAACAGAAUUGGAUUUAAAAUACCUAUAUUACAUUGCAUAGAUUUUUUUAAAUAUUUAUUUAUUAUUAUGAAAAUAUUUAUAAUAUAAUAAAUUAUGUGGUAUAUGUUUAGAGAUUACUAUGCUAUAAAAAAUAAUCAAUAACCAUUUUAGGAUGUUUAAUAUGUAUGUUAUAGGAACGAUGUAUAUACAUCGACCAUGCAUAACAUUAUGACCACCUCCCUAAUAUUGUGCCAAAACAGCCCUGACCCAUCAUACACUGUGUAUUCUGACACCUUUCUAUCAGAACCAGCAUUAACUUCUUCAGCAAUUUGAGCAACAGUAGCUCGUCUGUUGGAUCGGAUCACACGGGCCAACCUUCACCCCACAUGUAUCACUGAGCCUUGGCCGCCAAUGACCCUGUCGCCAGUUCACCACUGUUCCUUCCUUGGAUCACUUUUGGUAGAUACUGACCACUGCAGACCGGGAACACCCCACAAGAGCUGCAGUUUUGGAGAUGCUCUGAUCCAGUCGUCUAGCCAUCACAAUCUGGCACUUGUCAGACUCAAAUCCUUACGCUUGUCCAUUUUUCCUGCUUUGAGGACAAAAUGUUCACUUGCUGUCUAAUAUAUCCCACCCACUAACAGGUGCCAUGAUGAGGAGAUAAUCAGUGUUAUUCACUUCACCUCUCAGUGCUCAUAAUGUUAUGCCUGAUCUGUGUAUAAGGUCUAUAAAUCCCUGUUGAAAAAUGGCAGGGUUUUGUGGUGUAAAAAACAUUAAACUAAAAUAAAUCAUGUCAGGACAUGAAAUUAUGUUGUAUACAAAUUAAGUCAGAAACAUUUAGGGAAGAUAAGAACAAUUUACCAUAACCUUGUUGCUUAAGUGCACAAUUUCUUGCGGCUGUGUCUGUGUUCUUAUGGUAAAAGUAAUUAGCAUGCCACUGUCUUUAGUGAAAUUCUUCUGAUUAACCCCUUUAACACUUCCCUGGGUUUAGUCAUAAGGAAAAAAAAAAGUAGGAAAUUGCUUGCAUGAAUAUGCAGUUUAGGAAACUGCUCCAAAUAGCUAGCAAGCUACUAAACUGCUAGUAAACCUCGGUAGAAAAAACAUUUUGGUAGUCUUCAUUUUCAUUUUUAUUUCCGCAUAUUUAUUUUUUGACAUCAGCAACAAUUUUUAAAUGGGUUUUUAAGCAAGUAAUAAGUUUUAACAGGGAAUUUGUGAAUUUAGCAAACCCAAGCACUAAUCCGAAAACACAGUUUUGAGUUUUAAUGGUUCUUUUAAUGUAAUUCUUCUUUCUUUCUUUCAUCACUCGGUUUGCUUCAAACUUUCAGCUACUGCAUUGUCUUCUAUUUCUCUCUCACGUCUCGGCUCUCUUGCUUUCUCAUGCCGGCUGCCUCGCUCUCUCCGCUACCUAAACCAGCCUCCGGAGGAGAGGAGCUGGGUUUAUUCUCCUCUGCACUACGCUACAGAGUCUAGGACUCUGCCCACAGGGGAUGAGGACAGCGAUACACAGUGAGUGUGACUACUCCAGAGAUUGCUCAAGCGUGACGUUGCUUCCAACUCAACUCAACUGACCAAACUUCCUACCACAUUUUUAACUGACUGGUGUGUUCGAUCCUCAUCUUCUCACGAUCCAAAAUCCCACGCAAGACUGCAGCGUGAAGCUUUGUGCUGAACGUACACUAGCGUCGUUCUCCCUGUCGUUCUCCCAUCAUUUCUUCUACUAACAGCACCAAGCCAACCAGUAAUAACUGCAUCCAUUGAGAUUGAGAUAACAUUCCUGUAAUUCAUAAAAUGUUUUUUAUUUUGUUUUGUUUUUUUACUUUUCUAUGUGUGUGAUACUCUGAGUGUGAUACUGUGAACAUGCUUUCAUAUGUAUAAAGAAUAUGUUUGGUGUGUAAUGUGAGUUUGGAGAAAGCUUGCUCUUGCUUGUACACUUAAAGCAUCUGUAGUCUACAAUUAACUUCACUCAGUGAUAUAAUGAACUACUGGUAAUGUUAUAUUGUCAGCUAUAUCAGGAGUGGACGAAAUAUAAGUUCAGUUUGAUCCGAUUUUAUUUGUAUAGCGCUUCGCUUGCAAAUCAGCUUUACAGUAGUAUUUCAUGUUUAUAAAUUGUAAACUUUACUUUUAAAUUAAUCCCUAAUGAGAGAGCCAAAGGCAAGAAAAACUCUCAGAGGACGAAACCUUGUGAGGAAUCAGACUCAUCUGGGUGACACUGGAUAGUGUGAUUAUAUAUAAAACAAAAUUCUCUUCUAUAACUGUACUGUAUGCUCAAAAGCCAUGUCCGAUGUAAUGUAAUUAAGCUGUACAUCACUAUAAUUCUUCCUUGUGAAAUAAGUACUUUCAUCUCCUUUUCACAAUAAAGAAUAAUACUGAUUUACAGCUUAAUGCACAGAUGCAUUUGACUAGAUUUGAUCGAACAUAACAGCUGAUGUUCCAACAACUUCAAUUCUAAGUGGCUUUCACGUAUAUAUUUUAUGCAAACCUUUAUGUAAACAUGGAUGAUUUGUUGACUGGGGUAUUAGUAAUGGUUUGCUGUGUUUUUGAUGCAUUCAGCUCCUGUAGAUUUCCUUAUGCCUUUACAGGGACAACAAUCUUCAGUUGAGUUUAUAAAGUACUGCUACAGCUUUCUACCAGGUGGGAAUAACCAAGCAGAAGUCAACAUGGAUGUUUUAAUUACACACUGAUUGAUAUUUGUCUUUGUGUAGAAUCACAGCAGAUUUUAUGUGGGCUAUUUGAGGUUAAAGAAACUAUAAUUCCCACAGUUUCCUGAGAACUCUUCCUUACUAAGGCUGUAUUUCAAUUUUUUUUCAUGCCUUUCGUGUGCUGAAGGCCUAUCUUUAAAACCAAUGGAAAUGCUUUCCUCUUACGACUGUUCAAUCACAGCACUUUAUUUCUCCAUAUCACAAUCAUUUGAGCAGGAUGCAAGUUUUCCACCAGUGUUGUGAUCUGCACUGCAGGAAAGGUUUAAAGAACUUGUUCAAAUGUAUAUUUAUUUGUAUGUAUAGAGUAAUUUAAGUGUGUAUGUGUUUGAAAGUGUAAGUGUGAGGAACGUGUGAUUUAAUAGAUAUUUGAUGGGUGUUAAAAUGCUGAUCCCGGUCACAAUGCUGUUGUGUGAUAUAACGGACCUGCAGCAGCAAUACAGAGUGUUUGUAAUUUUUGGUUGCCUUAUUUAUUUCUUAUUUUUAGUGUUCUGAUACCAUAGUUAGUGACUCACUAAUGAUAUGUACAUAGAAGUAUAAAUACAAAUAAUGAAGAAAUACUGACUAUAUUUUAUUCUGUGGAUUUGGAGGUUUUUUGUUUUUUUUUAACUUCCCUCAAGCUGCACAUAAAAAUGAAUCGAGUGAAGCAGAUUCUUUCCGAGAUGAAGAGCGUGUAGCCGUAUUUGCGUUUCAGACGUCGCUUUGUGCCGUACGUGUGAACUUUCCCGAAUACGCAAGUGUACCGAUUGCAUCAUGUCCUACAAUUUUUGUCUGUGUAUGUGUGGUUUAAAAAAAAUGUGUGGCCCUGAUCAAAUAGAGUGCUGUAGAGAACAAGCAUUUUGUCAUUGAAAAUUGUAAAUAUAAAUUGAAAAUUAAAGAUAAAA